Molecule: ribosomal RNA, 317 nt
Filed under: uncultured eukaryote
Lineage: Eukaryota
Description: partial 18S ribosomal RNA
Rfam family: Eukaryotic small subunit ribosomal RNA
Source: RNAcentral
CCCUUAGAUGUUCUGGGCCGCACGCGCGCUACACUGAUCAGUGCAACAAGCAUCCGUCCUUGGCCGACAGGCCCGGGCAAUCUUUGAACGCUGAUCGUGAUGGGGAUAGACUUUUGCAAUUUUUGGUCUUCAACGAGGAAUUCCUAGUAAACGCAAGUCAUCAACUUGCAUUGAUUACGUCCCUGCCCUUUGUACACACCGCCCGUCGCACCUACCGAUUGAAUGGUCCGGUGAAGCCUCCGGAUUGGCGUGUACCCUCGGGUGCUGCCGAGAAGUUGGCUAAACCUUACCAUUUAGAGGAAGGUGAAGUCGUAACA